GGAUGAAUGAAUGAAUACAAAAACAAUAUCUUCCUCCAAGGAUUGAUGUGAGGCAUAGAGGUCUAGGAUGCCUGGAGCACAUCGCUGCCCUCUGCUGGAGACCACUUGAGGACAAUGGCUUGAGUAAAUGAGAUCGGCGGCCGCGAGCCGAGCGUUCUCUUUGAUUACUCUGUCACGAUAUCACCAGCCAAAGAAUUUUGCAAGGAAACGCAAGAGAUUCUCUAAAAGUUCACCCGGACGCAGAUGCACUGAAUAAUGUGGGGGUGGAGGAACAUUGGGGGUGGAAUUUGAAUUGAUGAAAGCUCCAGAAUGUUUGUAGCAAAUAGAUGAGGGUUGUAAAGACUUAAUGCGACUUCAACAUGCCUGGUUUACUCCAGAGGGAGUCUGGCUGGAUAUCUUAAUAC
Long non-coding RNA from Choloepus didactylus (southern two-toed sloth), 404 nucleotides. RefSeq lists it as uncharacterized. The record is from RefSeq and is a predicted model, not a curated record. Lineage: Eukaryota; Metazoa; Chordata; Mammalia; Pilosa; Megalonychidae. The transcript is spliced from 3 exons.